RNAcentral lists this ribosomal RNA (498 nucleotides) under uncultured bacterium. RNAcentral describes it as "partial 16S ribosomal RNA". It matches the Rfam family "Bacterial small subunit ribosomal RNA", at positions 355 to 842 of the family's 1533-position model. The record is from RNAcentral.
UAGGGAAUCUUCCACAAUGGACGCAAGUCUGAUGGAGCAACGCCGCGUGAGUGAAGAAGGUCUUCGGAUCGUAAAGCUCUGUUGUUGGUGAAGAAGGAUAGAGGCAGUAACUGGUCUUUAUUUGACGGUAAUCAACCAGAAAGUCACGGCUAACUACGUGCCAGCAGCCGCGGUAAUACGUAGGUGGCAAGCGUUGUCCGGAUUUAUUGGGCGUAAAGCGAGCGCAGGCGGAAUGAUAAGUCUGAUGUGAAAGCCCACGGCUCAACCGUGGAACUGCAUCGGAAACUGUCAUUCUUGAGUGCAGAAGAGGAGAGUGGAACUCCAUGUGUAGCGGUGGAAUGCGUAGAUAUAUGGAAGAACACCAGUGGCGAAGGCGGCUCUCUGGUCUGCAACUGACGCUGAGGCUCGAAAGCAUGGGUAGCGAACAGGAUUAGAUACCCUGGUAGUCCAUGCCGUAAACGAUGAGCGCUAGGUGUUGGGGGCACUUUCCGGUCCUCA